Molecule: unclassified non-coding RNA, 378 nt
Filed under: uncultured Muribaculaceae bacterium
Lineage: Bacteria; Pseudomonadati; Bacteroidota; Bacteroidia; Bacteroidales; Muribaculaceae
Description: contains 16S-23S intergenic spacer region
Source: RNAcentral
UCGCAGCUUGCGCCGGCAGUCUCGACAGAGUCCUCAGCCUGACCUGUUAGCAACUGUCGAUGGGGGUUGCGCUCGUUAUGGCACUUAAGCCGACACCUCACGGCACGAGCUGACGACAACCAUGCAGCACCUCGACACAGGCUCCGUAGAGCCGAACCCUUUCAGGUACGUUCCUGUGUCGUUUGAGCCCGGGUAAGGUUCCUCGCGUAUCAUCGAAUUAAACCACAUGUUCCUCCGCUUGUGCGGGCCCCCGUCAAUUCCUUUGAGUUUCACCGUUGCCGGCGUACUCCCCAGGUGGAAUACUUAACGCUUUCGCUGUGCCACCCAGGGCUCAUUCGCCCCGGACAGCUAGUAUUCAUCGUUUACUGCGUGGACUAC